CCUCCAAACACUAAGUUUUUAAUUCUGGAAGUCAGGAUUGCAUUAAAAAUGUAGGAUUAAUUGUCUCCUGAUGGAAAAUAACCUAAUGCUAUAAAAUAAAAACAGGACUAGCAUUAAGCAGAAGCGGCGGCAGUAAAGUGGACUUUCAACAAAAUCAGUCUUUUGAGAACCCACGAAUGAGCCCCUACCGUGGAUCCCUCACACAUGCGUAUUGGAUAAGAUAUUACGAAUAACCUAUCCCGUAGCAUGACGUAAGCACGCAACUAUAACGUAUAAUUCAAAGACUUGCAUUACAGCACGCAUUCUUUGACUCCCCGCCUCAUCCAUAUCCAUAUAUUUAUUUUCAUUUUUUAAAAAUAGAAAUACUAAGUGUGUUACCCUCUGCUUAUCUUAACAUUUUGACACAUGUGUCCAUCAGUGCGCUCCGUUACGCACAGAGAGGAAGGAGACGUCGCCGCACGUAAGGCAGCGUGACCCGCAGGAGCUCCGGGAAAGCAUCUGCUGCAACAGCAUGACACACUCUGCUGCUGCGUGCUGAUCUUAAGUCGUCCCUAUCUCUCUUAAAACGUUUCCCUUUUACGUGUAUCCUUCAGCCUGUUUAUUAGCGUGGAAACGUCAAUGUUUUACCGUUGGAUCUGCUGGUAUAUGUCUGGCUCGCUCUCCCUACAAGCUGUUGACUCAGGUGACUCAGUGAAGGAAGGUGCAGGUUUGAAGAUCACUACUAGGUCGUCUGUCAAACGCUGCCAGAAUAAGAUGCUGGGUUUAACCAAAGAGGGAGAUGCGUCAUUCAAACCAGAACAAUGGACACCGGUUCACAAUGGUCAACGCACAGCCGUGCAAAAUGUGUUUUAUUUUCAGUACACGUCGUCCAAAGCAGCCGGUGUGUGUGUGUGUGAGAAAGAGAGAAAGGGAGGGAGGGAGUGUGGGAGAGAGAGAGAUAGAUAGAGAGAGAGGGAGGGGGACCAGCGACGCAGCAGCUCCGCGCGCACUGUCACCCGAGGCUGGGGAGGAGAUGUUGGGAUGCGGGAUGCUGGCAGAAGUAACACCUUGGCCUCCGUUUUUUCUCUAACGCAAAAGUAGAGACAACCUUUUUAAAAACUCUUCCGUGAGUUGGAUCAAGUCUUUGUGCAGGUUCCCUCUCAGUCAGUGAAUGCUUGCAACAUUUUGGCUUCUCCCAGGACUCCUGGCUCUUGGUUAAACUCGAGAGAUGAUGCUAGAAACUUAAAAUAGGCUACUGGAUGGACUUGGACUGGAGAAUCGGAAUUUAUUCAAAGUGUAUGCCUGAAUCUGUGGUGUGCAGACAGAAGUGCAAUCACACAGAGAUAUACACACACUCCAUCUGCAGGCCUGAGUGUGAAGACUGCAGGACAACAGGUCAGCGGAGACACACAGCAACGACUGCUCUGAGGAUCUGAGGUCACACUGUGGGUCGGACUCUCAUCCCUCCAAAGUUACAGCAGGAAGAAGAAGAGGAAGAAGAAGAGGAGGAGGAGGUAGUGGAGGAGGAGGAAAAAGAGAAGAAGAGUGGGUGGAAGGAUGGAAGGAGAGAAGGAUGGAAGCAGUUCGAGGAGGUGGUUCGAAGCGGGUGAACCCAGAGCAGGUGAACACAGCUGUGGAUCGCCAUGGGCUCUCUGGCUGCCUUUCUCCUGUGGCCCCGGCGCUGCAAACAGGGGUCCUGGGGAGCCAGCAGGGGCCAGCCAAAGCUGCGGCAGAGUGGGCAGGCUGGGCCAGCCGAGCCAGGAGAGAGGCAGGUGAGGCGGGUGAGCCGAGCUCUCAUCCCCGCCGGCUAGGAGCCUCCGCGGCAGAGCGGAGCAGCGCAGAGCAGGAGAAAUCAAUACAGAGGAGAGAGGCUAGCAGAGGUUGCCCAGCACAGCCUGCAGGCCUUGGAGCCCAGGGACCAACCACCACCACUGCUCCCAGCUCCUCUCUGCUUCUCUCUUUCUAUCUUCCUCAAACAGUGCCAGCAUCAGCUAGGGCCAGGGCCCUAACCCUGCAACCGCCCCACACGCAGUAUGUGUGUCAGGAGGUGCACAUGUGUGUGUAAAAUUGAGAAAAAAAGGGAGAGGGAAAAGAAAGAGAGAGGGAGUCUUUGUGUGUGGUUCACCCGAAGGGGGUUUUGCUACGUCCAACAGCGCUUGAUAAAAGUUUGUCAGAGAGACACAGAGACAGUGAGGGAAGGAGAGAAACUGAAAAGGAAUGAGACAGGACGUCGAAGGUCUCUUUUUCUUCCGGCUCCCUCCCUCCUAUUACACAUUCCACCUUAACAGUUUGAAUAAGGAAACCAGUGGAGAUGGUACAUUUCUGCUCACUCCUUCCAAGCUCCUGGCGCACAAUAUUCCUAAGAUCUCAUGAGCCAGGAUGAAAGGACAAUUUGAACUUUUUCUCCCAUCCCCUGUAUCAGACACAACCUGUCUUUUCACCUUAGAUUUUCUUACCCUCACUACAGCAGCUCCCAUCAGAGGAUAUGGCAGCGCAGUAUUGAUCUGGAAGGUGGAAGAGAGGAAGGCGGGCCAGGGCUUUCAUACCGCUCUCUCCCUCUCCAUGUGUGUGGAAAUAGCACCUGAAGUCCACUUACUGCCGUGCAGCGGGGAUCCCAUGGCAGCACGAGUGAAUGGCUGCUAAUUGAAUGAGAGAUGAAAAGGACAGUAGUUGUACGUGUUCAAACCCCCCCUCCACUCCUACCCCUACCCGCUUCUCCUGUCUGCUACUACGUGGUUUUCCAUCUGACUUUUUUUUUUUUUUUGUCCUCCACAUUAACAAAAGUCCACUCAGAGAGACUCCCUUUUGAGAUGUUUUAACACAAUUGGCAGUGACUGAAAACAUUUGAAAGACCCUCCGGAAUAAACCCCCCCCCCCCCCUCCCAGCAUAUGUAGCACCGGUGCAGAGGUGAAGCCUUGAAAAGAAAACAGAGAAGAAGAAGAAGACAGCAGAAAAGAAAAAAAAAAACGUGCCAUGCCAGAAAACAUGUACUGUACAACUUUGUCUGCUUUGAUGGGCGAUACAAGACAACAGGAAAACGUUCACAC
Labrus mixtus (cuckoo wrasse) is the source of this 3027-nucleotide long non-coding RNA. RefSeq lists it as uncharacterized. The transcript is spliced from 3 exons. NCBI's taxonomy places the organism in Eukaryota, Metazoa, Chordata, Actinopteri, Labriformes, Labridae. The record is from RefSeq and is a predicted model, not a curated record.